UACGUAGGGUGCAAGCGUUAAUCGGAAUUACUGGGCGUAAAGCGUGCGCAGGCGGUGAUGUAAGACAGUUGUGAAAUCCCCGGGCUCAACCUGGGAACUGCAUCUGUGACUGCAUUGCUGGAGUGCGGCAGAGGGGGAUGGAAUUCCGCGUGUAGCAGUGAAAUGCGUAGAUAUGCGGAGGAACACCGAUGGCGAAGGCAAUCCCCUGGGCCUGUACUGACGCUCAUGCACGAAAGCGUGGGGAGCAAACAGG
RNAcentral lists this ribosomal RNA (253 nucleotides) under uncultured bacterium. Its description in RNAcentral is "partial 16S ribosomal RNA". It matches the Rfam family "Bacterial small subunit ribosomal RNA", at positions 524 to 776 of the family's 1533-position model. The record is from RNAcentral.